ACAUGCAAGUCGAGCGGUAAGGCUUUCACAGUUUGCUGGAUUACGACAGAACGCAUCGCAUUUACGCGGUGAACACUGUCUAUUGAAUCAAGCAAAGCGUGAAAGUACACGAGCGGCGGACGGGUGAGUAAUACGUAGGAACGUACCCCAAAGUGAGGAAUAACCUCGGGAAACCGAGGCUAAUACCGCAUAUGCUCUACGGAGUAAAGCAGCAAUGCGCUUUGGGAACGGCCUGCGUCCGAUUAGCUAGUUGGUAAGGUAAAGGCUUACCAAGGCGACGAUCGGUAGCUGUUCUGAGAGGAUGAUCAGCCACACUGGAACUGAGACACGGUCCAGACUCCUACGGGAGGCAGCAGUAGGGAAUUUUCCACAAUGGGCGAAAGCCUGAUGGAGCAACGCCGCGUGCAGGAUGAAGGCCUUAGGGUCGUAAACUGCUUUUAUCUGUGACGAUUAUGACAGUAGCAGAUGAAUAAGGAUCGGCUAACUCCGUGCCAGCAGCCGCGGUCAUACGGAGGAUCCAAGCGUUAUCCGGAAUUACUGGGCGUAAAGAGUUGCGUAGGUGGCAUAGCAAGUAGAUAGUGAAAGCGUUCCGCUCAACGGAAUACACAUUAUCUAAACUGCUGAGCUAGAGAAUGGUAGAGGUUACUGGAAUUCCCGGUGUAGGAGUGAAAUCCGUAGAUAUCGGGAGGAACACCAAUGGCGUAGGCAGGUAACUGGGCCAUUUCUGACACUAAGGCACGAAAGCGUGGGGAGCAAACGGGAUUAGAUACCCCGGUAGUCCACGCCGUAAACUAUGGAUGCUAGCUGUUAUAGGUAUCGACCCCUGUAGUAGCGAAGUUAACGCGUUAAGCAUCCCGCCUGUGGAGUACGGUCGCAAGACUAAAACAUAAAGGAAUUGACGGGGACCCGCACAAGCGGUGGAGCGUGUUGUU
Molecule: ribosomal RNA, 932 nt
Filed under: uncultured bacterium
Lineage: Bacteria
Description: bacterial SSU rRNA
Rfam family: Bacterial small subunit ribosomal RNA
Source: RNAcentral